UGCACCAGGAAUUCUUGCUUAUGCCAAGGCAGCCACGGAGGCUUGUGGUAUCCUCUGAGGUUGCUUGACUUGAGAAUUUAGCAGAACCUGGGGGCAUUUUGUUGGAGAGCAAUAAAAGGAACCAAUCCUCUCCUCUCUGUCAGGAUGUUUGAAUAUGCAACACAUCCAGUCCCAGCUGGGAGGAUGAGGGGAGAACAUGAGGCAGCUGAGAGACCCACAGAGAAAAGGAAGCUAGCUGAAGCUAAGACAGAAGAAAAAGAGGUCAGCAGUUGAAAGAGGUGAAGAAAAACAGAUGCCACCUUGGUAGAAGCCACAGACACAAAAAUAAGCUGAGGGAUGAGAAUGGCUGGACAGACUGAAGAAGACUCAAGUUCUUUCUGACCUCCCAUUCAACCAUCAAGGUUCUCCCAAAAAGUUGAAGUUUCUUUAUCUAAGAUUUAGACCCACCUAGGAGAACAUUUGUUCUUUUCUUCUCCUCCCUAUGAAGACCCUGAAAUGUGACCACCCCUGAACAGACUCUUUGAGAAGACAAUGCCAGUCAGACUCAUUCAAAUUGCAAAGAGAACUAUUCAUCAGUUAAUCUUUGUUUCCCAUCCAUUCAUCCUUCCUAGUAAUCUUUUAUUGCCCCUCAACAGAAUUCCUCUUUUCCCCCCUCCCAUAACCCAUUUUACCAGAAAGGCAUGUAAGCUUCUGAACCUCGUCCAAGAGUUGUUUUCAUUCUAUAGGCUCCUAUGUAUGCAUGUUAAAUAAAUUUGUGUCUUUUUCUCCAUUUAA
Non-coding RNA from Microcebus murinus (gray mouse lemur), 774 nucleotides. NCBI's taxonomy places the organism in Eukaryota, Metazoa, Chordata, Mammalia, Primates, Cheirogaleidae. The record is from RefSeq and is a predicted model, not a curated record.